Molecule: transfer RNA, 89 nt
Filed under: Priestia megaterium
Lineage: Bacteria; Bacillati; Bacillota; Bacilli; Caryophanales; Bacillaceae
Description: Bacillus megaterium tRNA-Ser
Rfam family: tRNA
About the family: Transfer RNA (tRNA) molecules are approximately 80 nucleotides in length. Their secondary structure includes four short double-helical elements and three loops (D, anti-codon, and T loops). Further hydrogen bonds mediate the characteristic L-shaped molecular structure. tRNAs have two regions of fundamental functional importance: the anti-codon, which is responsible for specific mRNA codon recognition, and the 3' end, to which the tRNAs corresponding amino acid is attached (by aminoacyl-tRNA synthetases). tRNAs cope with the degeneracy of the genetic code in two manners: having more than one tRNA (with a specific anti-codon) for a particular amino acid; and 'wobble' base-pairing, i.e. permitting non-standard base-pairing at the 3rd anti-codon position.
Source: RNAcentral
GGAAAGUUGGUAGAGUGGCUUAUUACAGUUGGUUGCUAACCAACCGAGGGUAAAAUCCUCCACAGGUUCGAAUCCUGUACUUUCCUCCA